Molecule: RNA transcript, 4142 nt
Organism: Biomphalaria glabrata
Lineage: Eukaryota; Metazoa; Mollusca; Gastropoda; Planorbidae
Gene name: protein TRC8 homolog
Exons: 3
Source: RefSeq, a predicted model, not a curated record
UCUAGAGGUAGAAAAUAAGAUUUAGAAUUAGACUUAUCAUCAUAUAUAUGUAUGUCUUGUCUUAGAAGGUUCUUACUCAGCUUCAGCCUACAGGUUUUAAGUUUAAGUCUUAGGACUCUUAGGUCUUGUAAUUUUCAGAUUUUAUAUAAACUCAGGAACCUAACAAAAUUAACAGCCUACUAGACUCUUAAAUAUCUUAUGGAGCUUGUAGCCUUAGUUUAGAAAAUGUUAGAAAAUUAGCAAAACUUUCAUAUUAUAUGAAUAUGAGGUUGGACCAUAAAUAGAUUUAGAUUAGUGACUGUGAUUGAUGUUUUCACCCCAAAACAGGUUGAAAUGAAUAUAUAAAAAUUGAACAGAUGUUCUUAUUAAAGAAAUGUCAAGCUUUAAAAAACUGUUUGUUGUUCUUGGGAGAUUACCAUUACUGUUUGGUGUGGACAGUACUUUGAAGGGAAUUUUUAUCAAUGUCAAUCUACUGGACUUAAUGAGACACCAUACUUCAACUUCAAGAGAUUACCACGAACUCUACUCUACUGAAAAUGUGAUGCCAGAUUAUGUGCCUAGCUUUCUUUCACUAUUUUUAUGGUCUGCAUUGCUUCUUACCAUCACUCUUCUGUUGGUGAUCUUAAUUUGCAGUCCGAUCGAUUCAAUCCUUGAAGUAUACGGUUGUUUACUCGGCUUUGGUCUGCUAGCUUUUUCUUUUCAAUGCAACUAUGGCUUGGUGAACAGAAAAGAAUAUUUACAACUAUUCCAUGAGAGUAGCAAGAACAAUGCUACAACAAAUGAAAAUCAAGCCGCCACGCUGGUGUCCACUCCAUCUAUUAUCAUCAGCAUUCUUACACAACUCUUCAUUGUAUUGUCUUUGGAUCAGAUAUGCGCAGUAGGUUUGCGUAAAGUCUGUAAGGAUCUUGUUGUCAGAACGGAUAUUGCUCUCUUUAUUUCAUUAUCAUUUCCAAUUUUUUUACAUGCUUUUCUAGACAACACUUCUGAUGUUUAUAUGUGGUCCCCAUUUAUAUCUCUUAUUCUUCCACUAAUUCUUCUAGCCAUCCAUUCCUUUUCUGUAAUAUCAACAUUAUUAAGUCUAAUUAUUCCUCCUGUUAGAGACAUCAAACAGCAUAUCAGAGAAAUGGGUUUGGAUGGUGUUUUGCUCAGAGUUAUGGAAAAAGCUAACCUGGUCUGGUUGUUGAGGGUGUUCUUUUUCACUAAAGUUUCUUAUAGCAUACUAGUGUCAAAAGUACUUAGAGAAUGUACCUCUUUUGAAAAUCUCACUUGGUCAGAAGUUUGUGAAGUCUUUUGUUUGCUUGCUUUGGAAGUGCUCCACAAUAUGUGUGAAACAAUUCUUUCAGUCAUGAGUAUGGCUAGCAUAAUCAGUGUAAUAAGUGGCUGGUGCUUACGGCUUAUCUAUCAUAUCGUUGGAGCCUAUGAUGAAGAAGAAAGUCUUCAACCAGCUGUUUCUGGUUUUCUCUUUGUUCUUCUAGCCAUGCAGACAGGCAUAACAAGUAUUACUAAUGAAGCCAGACUUCAGUUGCUUUUUCAAAAUUGUGUGCUACUAUUGGUAGCCAACCAACAUUUUAUCCAAACUGUUGCGGCAGAUCUAUUACUUAAAGCUAGUAGUGAAGAUGUAGUGGUGAAAAAACAUGUCCGACCUAUGUUGCCUUAUUUACUGUUUUUUUCUUUUCCCUUUAUAGUGGUGCUGCGUCUGUGGCAAUAUCCCUUUCGACUCUCCUGGUUGCUAGCUAUAUCUGCUUUUAGUUUAGAACUCAUUAUAAAGUCCAUUAUGAGUCUGUCUGUUUAUACACUCAAUAUGCUUCAUUCCCAUACUCAGUAUUUCCAAGAGACAAUAGAGGACUGUAUUUUUUAUGUCAAAGCUGUGUGUGGAAGUUUAGAAUUUAUAUGUGGAAUUUUUCUUUUUCUAAAUGGUGCUUACAUAUUUGUUUUUGAAUCUGGAGGUAUCAUACGAUUUGUUAUGAUGAUGAUUCACUUAUACUGCAAUAUCUAUCAAACUGCAGUUAAAGCCUUGGCUACAUACAGGCUCAGGCAGUCUGCUUGGCAAAAAGUCAAUCACCUGAAGGCUGCCAGCCAGGAACAGUUAGAUGAGAACAAUGAUAUUUGUCCAAUUUGUUACCAGGAAAUGAAAGAAGCUGUAGUAAUUCAGUGUUCACAUGUCUUCCACAAACACUGCCUGCAGAAAUGGCUGUUCAUUCAGGAAACCUGCCCACUGUGUCACACUGACCUGAGGGAAGAUGCACCAGCACAAUCAAACAACACCCAAGGUGGCCUUGCCAGAUAACAGUUGUUUUCUGUCAAACACAGUUAGAUCUAUGCAAUGUUUAUUUUUUAAGAAAGAUAAAUAAGACUUUAAAUUACUUAAUAUUAUAGCUCUAAAGUAUUUAUUUAUUUCAUGUACUGGUAUCAUGAUUUAUUAUGACUGUUAUUAUUUAGUUGUAUACCAAAUAAAUAACCUGACUAUGCAUUGUUUUAGUAUACAUUUAGGUAAAUGACCUACACAAACUUUUUCAAGCACUAUCUGUUUUUAGAUAUGUUUUCAAAUCAUGUUCUUCAAAAUAUACUAUUAAUAGUCUGGUUGUUGGUGUACUAUUUGAUACAGAUGUUUAUUCAUUAGUUUUAUUCAUUAUAAGUAUAUAUUAUUCGAAUGGUUGUCUUCUAUGCUAGAGAGAUAGUAAAUAAUUAAGCAUAAUGCUUAUAAACAGCUCUAUGUUCCCCGAUAGCCUCUUCUCACACAGUAGCAUAGCUAAUCUUCAUUUAACGCACCAUAAUGCUCUGUUAUUAAUGUCUGCCUCGCUCAGUUUCCUUUGUUCUACAAUAACUUCAUUUGUUCAUGGAGUCUCCUGUCCUCCGAGGCUUUUUCUACAUUUCAAAACAACCGUAAUUGAUACCAUGUAAAUAUCUGACUGAAAUGGUUCUAAUUUAUUUUCCUGCUAGUCCCUACAUGUUGAAUGUACAGCAUUUGGUAGCCCCUGUGAAUGUGUUGUAGAAGGACUUAGUGUUCUAAAAUAAACUUUAGGUUAAGUCACAUGUUGAAAACAAAGUUGCUGUUGACAUUGUUGCCUGUGUUUCUAUAAGUCUAAAGCAUUUUGGUAUACAAUUUAUACUCAGUUAUAUCUAAAUUGAUUUAAUUUAUAUUUUGGACAUGGUAGUUUGUUUGUUAUUUUCUUUAUACAGUGUUUCAUAUUUUGUGCAUAAUUAGAUUAACCAGAGAUUGUAUUUCAAUGGAAAUAAUUUUGUCACUAUGUAUUCUAAUUAUAAUCUCAAGUUUAUGACAGUCAUAAAGAUCUUGAUUUUAUCACUUAAGUUUAUUUGUAUGUAGCACAUCUUGAUGCCAAGAAGCUGGAUAUUAAUGGAAACAUUGUUAGAUCUUUGUUGUAAUACCGGUGAUGCUUAUUUUAUCACUAGACCUGAUGAAGAGUUCUAGAAUUGUACAAGUAAACUUUAAUGAAUGAAAUAGUUUUUUUGUAAAGAAGUCAUGUUUAAUAUAGACAGACAUGAACCGUAAACAUUUAGCCAAAUUGGCAGGCCUGUAAGGUCAGUUUCAAAAUAUGCUCCGACAAAAUCAUAUACAAAGCAGUGAUUACUUGCACAUCACGUUUUGUAAUUCUGUUGGACAUGACACUUUCAGGUGUUUCAAUAAAAAAAAAAAAAUAGAUCAUCAUUUCCCCUACCAGGCUGCAGACAUCUUUAGAAAGAAUCACACUGUAAUAUAUAAUAUAUAGAUAGGUUACAUUAGUUUCCAGUGUAUUGUGGGUGGGUUUACAUUUCCAGUGUAUUGUGGGUGGGUUUACAUUUACCAUGUGCCUUACAGACUUCUAGAAAAGAUUUUCUUUUGGUUCUUUUACUGAGGUAGGAGACUUAUAUUUGAUUUUAUCAAAUGCAUCUCAUCCGUACCUCUAAACUGCUUCUUUUAAUGAAUCUGUUGAACUGACGUGAACUUUUGUGUCUAGGGAAAUGAGAAUAGAAAUCAGUUGUACAGGAUGAAUUAUGUUUGAAUGCUUUUGGUCAGUUGUAUUGUUAUUGACUGUUACGUUCAAAUGAGUAUCUUGAAACUUGUCUGUGUGUUUGUGAAGACACAAGUCACGCAUCAGUGAUUUAUUGUCAACUGUGAUCUAAAUAAACGUUUGCUCACUUCA